RNAcentral lists this ribosomal RNA (2140 nucleotides) under Escherichia coli. RNAcentral's name for it is "partial 23S ribosomal RNA". It matches the Rfam family "Bacterial large subunit ribosomal RNA", at positions 825 to 2925 of the family's 2925-position model. Lineage: Bacteria; Pseudomonadati; Pseudomonadota; Gammaproteobacteria; Enterobacterales; Enterobacteriaceae. The record is from RNAcentral.
AAGGCCAAUCAAACCGGGAGAUAGCUGGUUCUCCCCGAAAGCUAUUUAGGUAGCGCCUCGUGAAUUCAUCUCCGGGGGUAGAGCACUGUUUCGGCAAGGGGGUCAUCCCGACUUACCAACCCGAUGCAAACUGCGAAUACCGGAGAAUGUUAUCACGGGAGACACACGGCGGGUGCUAACGUCCGUCGUGAAGAGGGAAACAACCCAGACCGCCAGCUAAGGUCCCAAAGUCAUGGUUAAGUGGGAAACGAUGUGGGAAGGCCCAGACAGCCAGGAUGUUGGCUUAGAAGCAGCCAUCAUUUAAAGAAAGCGUAAUAGCUCACUGGUCGAGUCGGCCUGCGCGGAAGAUGUAACGGGGCUAAACCAUGCACCGAAGCUGCGGCAGCGACACUGUGUGUUGUUGGGUAGGGGAGCGUUCUGUAAGCCUGUGAAGGUGUGCUGUGAGGCAUGCUGGAGGUAUCAGAAGUGCGAAUGCUGACAUAAGUAACGAUAAAGCGGGUGAAAAGCCCGCUCGCCGGAAGACCAAGGGUUCCUGUCCAACGUUAAUCGGGGCAGGGUGAGUCGACCCCUAAGGCGAGGCCGAAAGGCGUAGUCGAUGGGAAACAGGUUAAUAUUCCUGUACUUGGUGUUACUGCGAAGGGGGGACGGAGAAGGCUAUGUUGGCCGGGCGACGGUUGUCCCGGUUUAAGCGUGUAGGCUGGUUUUCCAGGCAAAUCCGGAAAAUCAAGGCUGAGGCGUGAUGACGAGGCACUACGGUGCUGAAGCAACAAAUGCCCUGCUUCCAGGAAAAGCCUCUAAGCAUCAGGUAACAUCAAAUCGUACCCCAAACCGACACAGGUGGUCAGGUAGAGAAUACCAAGGCGCUUGAGAGAACUCGGGUGAAGGAACUAGGCAAAAUGGUGCCGUAACUUCGGGAGAAGGCACGCUGAUAUGUAGGUGAAGUCCCUCGCGGAUGGAGCUGAAAUCAGUCGAAGAUACCAGCUGGCUGCAACUGUUUAUUAAAAACACAGCACUGUGCAAACACGAAAGUGGACGUAUACGGUGUGACGCCUGCCCGGUGCCGGAAGGUUAAUUGAUGGGGUCAGCGCAAGCGAAGCUCUUGAUCGAAGCCCCGGUAAACGGCGGCCGUAACUAUAACGGUCCUAAGGUAGCGAAAUUCCUUGUCGGGUAAGUUCCGACCUGCACGAAUGGCGUAAUGAUGGCCAGGCUGUCUCCACCCGAGACUCAGUGAAAUUGAACUCGCUGUGAAGAUGCAGUGUACCCGCGGCAAGACGGAAAGACCCCGUGAACCUUUACUAUAGCUUGACACUGAACAUUGAGCCUUGAUGUGUAGGAUAGGUGGGAGGCUUUGAAGUGUGGACGCCAGUCUGCAUGGAGCCGACCUUGAAAUACCACCCUUUAAUGUUUGAUGUUCUAACGUGGACCCGUGAUCCGGGUUGCGGACAGUGUCUGGUGGGUAGUUUGACUGGGGCGGUCUCCUCCUAAAGAGUAACGGAGGAGCACGAAGGUUGGCUAAUCCUGGUCGGACAUCAGGAGGUUAGUGCAAUGGCAUAAGCCAGCUUGACUGCGAGCGUGACGGCGCGAGCAGGUGCGAAAGCAGGUCAUAGUGAUCCGGUGGUUCUGAAUGGAAGGGCCAUCGCUCAACGGAUAAAAGGUACUCCGGGGAUAACAGGCUGAUACCGCCCAAGAGUUCAUAUCGACGGCGGUGUUUGGCACCUCGAUGUCGGCUCAUCACAUCCUGGGGCUGAAGUAGGUCCCAAGGGUAUGGCUGUUCGCCAUUUAAAGUGGUACGCGAGCUGGGUUUAGAACGUCGUGAGACAGUUCGGUCCCUAUCUGCCGUGGGCGCUGGAGAACUGAGGGGGGCUGCUCCUAGUACGAGAGGACCGGAGUGGACGCAUCACUGGUGUUCGGGUUGUCAUGCCAAUGGCACUGCCCGGUAGCUAAAUGCGGAAGAGAUAAGUGCUGAAAGCAUCUAAGCACGAAACUUGCCCCGAGAUGAGUUCUCCCUGACCCUUUAAGGGUCCUGAAGGAACGUUGAAGACGACGACGUUGAUAGGCCGGGUGUGUAAGCGCAGCGAUGCGUUGAGCUAACCGGUACUAAUGAACCGUGAGGCUUAACCUUACAACGCCGAAGGUGUUU